UUUAGCUGCUGCAGCCUGGGCCUGAUGAAUCCGUUCUGUAAAAAUUCAGACCAAGAAUGAGUCAGACUUCAAUGACUGUUACCCAGUGACACUGCAAUAAUGUCAAUUAUCCUGCAGUUGAACUGCUUCAGGAUACAGGAUGAAUGUGCAGCUUACAAUGAUGGUCACCAAUAUUUGUUUAGGAAUGCUAGCUCAAGCAGGUCACAGUCGACAACCAUUCUCAAUCAGCAGACAACUGGCGUGGCACUCAGUCAAUCUCCCAGGAGAGUCAAUGCCUUGAAGAAAGGAGCAGCCUGUGUAAGAAGCUGAGGUCCUUCUGUUGCUGUACACUUUUUGGAACUGUUGCAUACUUAGUCUACACUGCUUCGCUCUAGCCCUGCUGCCAAGGUGCAUCACUCGACACGUGUGUUAAAAUUCCAUCUGCCAUUGUUAUAGCAGGGAGACCAGAACUGGACACAGUAUUCCAGAAGAGGCCACACCAACAUCCUGUACAACCUCAACACGCUGUUCCAACUCCGAUACUCAAAGGUCUGAGCAACGAAGGUGAUUCUGGAAGAUUACCAAAAUUAACAUGGAAGGUGCAUGUAUACAAAACACAGUCCAAAUGACUUCUCUAAUCCCACAUUUUGAAAUCUAGUGUCAGAAUCUCACCUAGUGAUAGAAUGGUGACAUAGGCCGGUCUAUCAGAUCUCAGCAGAGAGUGUUCGCGUGCCUUGUUGAGAGAAGGAUCCUUGUCAAAUACUCCCUUCACGGGGCCCACAACAGAGUCAAAGCCAUGCAUGCGGAAGGUGAAGGCUUUGUGAGGCUGACUGUAUCGUUGACGCUCCUGUGGAAAAGACACAAACUAUCAACUCAAUGUCCAAUAACCCAGGAUGAACUGAGCUUUGAAAUCCUACUCUGGGUUUACAGAAAUAAUGAAACACAAGAAUGUCCGUCACAUGGAAGCCGAAUAGGGAUUGUAGUUUCAAACAGAGGUCAUCAGAACUGGUUUUCCAGCAAAUACCACAAGUACAAUGGGAUAUAAUGUUUGACAAUUGGUCAAUUUUUUGAAAUUUAACUGGUAGGGUAGAUAAAAGAAACCAGAAUAUUUAGUAUAUUUGGAUUUCCAAAAGCGAUUUGAUAUGGUGCCAUUGAAAAGCUUAGCACACCACAUGAAGUUGGGAUGAUAUAUUAGCAUGGAUAAAAGAUUAGAUUAUGAAUAGGAAGCAGAGGCAUUUUCGGUGUCAGGCUACAACUAAUACAAUAUCACAAGGAUAAGUGCAAGGGCCUCAGAUAUUUCCACAUUAUUACUUAGAUAAAGAGACAUACAGAAAUGUAAUAUCAGCAAAUGUAUACAAAGUUUGUUGGGAAUGCAAAUUGUUGAGAGGACACAAAGAAGCUGAAAAGAGAUAUGAACAAGUUAAAUGAGUGGGCAACAGGUGGCAGAUGGAGUAUAUUGUAGGAAGUGUGAGGUUAUUCACUUUGACAAGUUUGAAGUGGAGAAUAUUUUCCAAAGGGUAUGAAACAUGUAAAUAUUGUUGUUCAGACACUUGGAUGUACGCCUGCCAGGAAGCGACUGUCUGCAUUCAGGUACAGCAAUUCGGAAGGCAAAUGGCAUGCUGAUAUUUAUUCCAAGAGGACUGAAAUACAGAAAUAAAAAUACAAC
This is a long non-coding RNA of Stegostoma tigrinum, 1645 nucleotides long. RefSeq lists it as uncharacterized. NCBI's taxonomy places the organism in Eukaryota, Metazoa, Chordata, Chondrichthyes, Orectolobiformes, Stegostomatidae. The record is from RefSeq and is a predicted model, not a curated record. The transcript has 3 exons.